This 492-nucleotide ribosomal RNA is filed under the name uncultured bacterium. Its description in RNAcentral is "partial 16S ribosomal RNA". It matches the Rfam family "Bacterial small subunit ribosomal RNA", at positions 29 to 507 of the family's 1533-position model. The record is from RNAcentral.
AGUGAACGCUGGCGGUAGGCCUAACACAUGCAAGUCGAACGGCAGCACAGUAAGAGCUUGCUCUUACGGGUGGCGAGUGGCGGACGGGUGAGGCAUACAUCGGAAUCUACUUUUUCGUGGGGGAUAACGUAGGGAAACUUACGCUAAUGCCGCAUACGACCUACGGGUGAAAGCAGUGGAUCUUCGGACCUUGCGCGAUUGAAUGAGCCGAUGUCGGAUUAGCUAGUUGGCGGGGUAAAGGCUCACCAAGGCGACGAUCCGUAGCUGGUCUGAGAGGAUGAUCAGCCACACUGGAACUGAGACACGGUCCAGACCCCUACGGGAGGCAGCAGUGGGGAAUAUUGGACAAUGGGCGCAAGCCUGAUCCAGCCAUACCGCGUGGGUGAGGAAGGCCUUCGGGUUGUAAAGCCCUUUUGUUGGGAAAGAAAAGCAGCAGGUUAAUACCCCGCUGUUCUGACGGUACCCAAAGAAUAAGCACCGGCUAACUUCGUG